RNAcentral lists this ribosomal RNA (497 nucleotides) under uncultured bacterium. RNAcentral describes it as "partial 16S ribosomal RNA". It matches the Rfam family "Bacterial small subunit ribosomal RNA", at positions 28 to 507 of the family's 1533-position model. The record is from RNAcentral.
GACGAACGCUGGCGGCGUGCCUAAUACAUGCGAGUUGAGCGCUGAAGGUUGGUACUUGUACCGACUGGAUGAGCAGCGAACGGGUGAGUAACGCGUGGGGAAUCUGCCUUUGAGCGGGGGACAACAUUUGGAAACGAAUGCUAAUACCGCAUAAAAACUUUAAACACAAGUUUUAAGUUUGAAAGAUGCAAUUGCAUCACUCAAAGAUGAUCCCGCGUUGUAUUAGCUAGUUGGUGAGGUAAAGGCUCACCAAGGCGAUGAUACAUAGCCGACCUGAGAGGGUGGUCGGCCACAUUGGGACUGAGACACGGCCCAAACUCCUACGGGAGGCAGCAGUAGGGAAUCUUCGGCAAUGGACGAAAGUCUGACCGAGCAACGCCGCGUGAGUGAAGAAGGUUUUCGGAUCGUAAAACUCUGUUGGUAGAGAAGAACGUUGGUGAGAGUGGAAAGCUCAUCAAGUGACGGUAACUACCCAGAAAGGGACGGCUAACUACGUG